This 800-nucleotide ribosomal RNA is filed under the name Pseudarthrobacter siccitolerans. RNAcentral's name for it is "bacterial SSU rRNA". It matches the Rfam family "Bacterial small subunit ribosomal RNA", at positions 693 to 1487 of the family's 1533-position model. Lineage: Bacteria; Bacillati; Actinomycetota; Actinomycetes; Micrococcales; Micrococcaceae. The record is from RNAcentral.
GAUAUCAGGAGGAACACCGAUGGCGAAGGCAGGUCUCUGGGCAUUAACUGACGCUGAGGAGCGAAAGCAUGGGGAGCGAACAGGAUUAGAUACCCUGGUAGUCCAUGCCGUAAACGUUGGGCACUAGGUGUGGGGGACAUUCCACGUUUUCCGCGCCGUAGCUAACGCAUUAAGUGCCCCGCCUGGGGAGUACGGCCGCAAGGCUAAAACUCAAAGGAAUUGACGGGGGCCCGCACAAGCGGCGGAGCAUGCGGAUUAAUUCGAUGCAACGCGAAGAACCUUACCAAGGCUUGACAUGAACCGGAAAUACCUGGAAACAGGUGCCCCGCUUGCGGUCGGUUUACAGGUGGUGCAUGGUUGUCGUCAGCUCGUGUCGUGAGAUGUUGGGUUAAGUCCCGCAACGAGCGCAACCCUCGUUCUAUGUUGCCAGCGCGUUAUGGCGGGGACUCAUAGGAGACUGCCGGGGUCAACUCGGAGGAAGGUGGGGACGACGUCAAAUCAUCAUGCCCCUUAUGUCUUGGGCUUCACGCAUGCUACAAUGGCCGGUACAAAGGGUUGCGAUACUGUGAGGUGGAGCUAAUCCCAAAAAGCCGGUCUCAGUUCGGAUUGGGGUCUGCAACUCGACCCCAUGAAGUCGGAGUCGCUAGUAAUCGCAGAUCAGCAACGCUGCGGUGAAUACGUUCCCGGGCCUUGUACACACCGCCCGUCAAGUCACGAAAGUUGGUAACACCCGAAGCCGGUGGCCUAACCCCUUGUGGGAGGGAGCUGUCGAAGGUGGGACUGGCGAUUGGGACUAAGUC